RNAcentral lists this ribosomal RNA (495 nucleotides) under Bacillus mycoides. Its description in RNAcentral is "bacterial SSU rRNA". It matches the Rfam family "Bacterial small subunit ribosomal RNA", at positions 111 to 591 of the family's 1533-position model. Lineage: Bacteria; Bacillati; Bacillota; Bacilli; Caryophanales; Bacillaceae. The record is from RNAcentral.
UAACACGUAGGUAACCUGCCUAUAAGACUGGGAUAACUCCGGGAAACCGGGGCUAAUACCGGAUAACAUUUUGCACCGCAUGGUGCGAAAUUGAAAGGCGGCUUCGGCUGUCACUUAUAGAUGGACCUGCGGCGCAUUAGCUAGUUGGUGAGGUAACGGCUCACCAAGGCGACGAUGCGUAGCCGACCUGAGAGGGUGAUCGGCCACACUGGGACUGAGACACGGCCCAGACUCCUACGGGAGGCAGCAGUAGGGAAUCUUCCGCAAUGGACGAAAGUCUGACGGAGCAACGCCGCGUGAGCGAUGAAGGCCUUCGGGUCGUAAAGCUCUGUUGUUAGGGAAGAACAAGUGCUAGUUGAAUAAGCUGGCACCUUGACGGUACCUAACCAGAAAGCCACGGCUAACUACGUGCCAGCAGCCGCGGUAAUACGUAGGUGGCAAGCGUUAUCCGGAAUUAUUGGGCGUAAAGCGCGCGCAGGUGGUUUCUUAAGUCUG